UACGUAGGGUGCAGGCGUUAAUCGGAAUUACUGGGCGUAAAGCGUGCGCAGGCGGUUUCUUAAGUCAGAUGUGAAAGCCCCGGGCUUAACCUGGGAACUGCGUUUGAAACUGGGAGACUUGAGUGUGGCAGAGGGGGGUGGAAUUCCACGUGUAGCAGUGAAAUGCGUAGAUAUGUGGAGGAACACCGAUGGCGAAGGCAGGUCUCUGGGCCACUACUGACGCUGAGAAGCGAAAGCGUGGGGAGCGAACAGG
This 253-nucleotide ribosomal RNA is filed under the name uncultured bacterium. RNAcentral describes it as "partial 16S ribosomal RNA". It matches the Rfam family "Bacterial small subunit ribosomal RNA", at positions 524 to 776 of the family's 1533-position model. The record is from RNAcentral.